RNAcentral lists this ribosomal RNA (399 nucleotides) under uncultured bacterium. RNAcentral's name for it is "partial 16S ribosomal RNA". It matches the Rfam family "Bacterial small subunit ribosomal RNA", at positions 360 to 776 of the family's 1533-position model. The record is from RNAcentral.
AAUAUUGGACAAUGGGGGAAACCCUGAUCCAGCCAUGCCGCGUGAGUGAUGAAGGCCCUAGGGUUGUAAAGCCCUUUUGUUCGGGAAGAUAAUGACGGUACCGCAAGAAUAAGCCCGGCCCAACUUCGUGCCAGCAGCCGCGGUAAUACGAAGGGGGCUAGCGUUGCUCGGAAUCACUGGGCGGAAAGGGUUCGUAGGCGGAUCUUUAAGUCAGGGGUGAAAUCCCGGGGCUCAACCCCGGAACUGCCCUUGAUACUGGAGAUCUUGAGUUCGGGAGAGGUGAGUGGAACUGCGAGUGUAGAGGUGAAAUUCGUAGAUAUUCGCAAGAACACCAGUGGCGAAGGCGGCUCACUGGCCCGAUACUGACGCUGAGGCACGAAAGCGUGGGGAGCAAACAGG